UCAUAUCAGGUUGAAACACCGGUUUCCACCAGAUCAUCGAAGUUAAGCAACAUCGAGCCUGGUUAGUACCUAGAAUGGUGACCACUUGGGAAUACCAGAUGCU
Molecule: non-coding RNA, 103 nt
Organism: Acanthosepion pharaonis
Lineage: Eukaryota; Metazoa; Mollusca; Cephalopoda; Sepiida; Sepiidae
Source: the annotation of a GenBank genome assembly